Molecule: ribosomal RNA, 395 nt
Filed under: uncultured bacterium
Lineage: Bacteria
Description: bacterial SSU rRNA
Rfam family: Bacterial small subunit ribosomal RNA
Source: RNAcentral
AUUGAACGCUGGCGGCAUGCCUUACACAUGCAAGUCGAACGGCAGCACGGGAGCAAUCCUGGUGGCGAGUGGCGAACGGGUGAGUAAUAUAUCGGAACGUGCCCAGUCGUGGGGAUAACGUAGCGAAAGCUACGCUAAUACCGCAUACGAUCUAUGGAUGAAAGCGGGGGAUCGCAAGACCUCGCGCGAUUGGAGCGGCCGAUAUCAGAUUAGGUAGUUGGUGAGGUAAAGGCUCACCAAGCCGACGAUCUGUAGCUGGUCUGAGAGGACGACCAGCCACACUGGGACUGAGACACGGCCCAGACUCCUACGGGAGGCAGCAGUGGGGAAUUUUGGACAAUGGCGCAAGCCUGAUCCAGCAAUGCCGCGUGCAGGAUGAAGGCCUCGGUUGUAAC